GCCUGGUAACACCUUGAUUUUGGACUUCUAGCCUCCAGAACUGUGAGAAAAUUAAUUUCUGUGGUUAAAGUCACC
This 75-nucleotide microRNA precursor is filed under the name Canis lupus familiaris (dog). RNAcentral's name for it is "miRNA (ENSCAFG00845025542.1)". The record is from RNAcentral. Lineage: Eukaryota; Metazoa; Chordata; Mammalia; Carnivora; Canidae.